GACGAACGCUGGCGGCGUGCCUAAUACAUGCAAGUCGAACGCUUCUUUCCUCCCGAGUGCUUGCACUCAAUUGGAAAGAGGAGUGGCGGACGGGUGAGUAACACGUGGGUAACCUACCCAUCAGAGGGGGAUAACACUUGGAAACAGGUGCUAAUACCGCAUAACAGUUUAUGCCGCAUGGCAUAAGAGUGAAGGGCGCUUUCGGGUGUCGCUGAUGGAUGGACCCGCGGUGCAUUAGCUAGUUGGUGAGGUAACGGCUCACCAAGGCCACGAUGCAUAGCCGACCUGAGAGGGUGAUCGGCCACACUGGGACUGAGACACGGCCCAGACUCCUACGGGAGGCAGCAGUAGGGAAUCUUCGGCAAUGGACGAAAGUCUGACCGAGCAACGCCGCGUGAGUGAAGAAGGUUUUCGGAUCGUAAAACUCUGUUGUUAGAGAAGAACAAGGACGUUAGUAACUGAACGUCCCCUGACGGUAUCUAACCAGAAAGCCACGGCUAACUACGUG
RNAcentral lists this ribosomal RNA (508 nucleotides) under uncultured bacterium. RNAcentral describes it as "partial 16S ribosomal RNA". It matches the Rfam family "Bacterial small subunit ribosomal RNA", at positions 28 to 507 of the family's 1533-position model. The record is from RNAcentral.